GGAAGUAAAAGUCGUAACAAGGUUUCCGUAGGUGAACCUGCGGAAGGAUCAUUAAUGAUUGCGAAUGGUUGCCUUCGGUGCUGGCUCUUGCAAGUGCACGUUGGUGGCUUUCAUCCAAUACCCCUGUGAACCUUUGGCCUCUUGCUAGCUUCGGCUGGCAGAGGAUUUUUACACACUCGAAUGUAAUGAAAACUAUUGUCGUGCGCAAGCACUAAUGUACAACUUUCAACAACGGAUCUCUUGGCUCUCGCAUCGAUGAAGAACGCAGCGAAAUGCGAUAAGUAAUGUGAAUUGCAGAAUUCAGUGAAUCAUCGAAUCUUUGAACGCACCUUGCACCCUUUGGUAUUCCGAAGGGUAUGCUCGUUUGAGUGUCAUUGUACUCUCACACUCUCUGAUCUUUUUGGAUUCAGGGAGCGGUGGACUUGGGUGUUUGCUGCUUACCUGCAGCUCACCUCAAAUGCGUCAGUGCACCUCUUGGUUGGACAUAGUACGGCGUGAUAAGUAUCUUCGCCGGCACCUCGCAAGAGGGUGGCCGAUUGGGAGCUCUGUGCUUUCAAACCGUCUUCGGACAAUUUCUGACAACUUGACCUCAAAUCGAGUAGGACUACCCGCUGAACUUAAGCAUA
This 626-nucleotide ribosomal RNA is filed under the name uncultured Sebacina. Its description in RNAcentral is "eukaryotic LSU rRNA". The stretch from base 221 to 374 matches the Rfam family "5.8S ribosomal RNA". The record is from RNAcentral. Lineage: Eukaryota; Fungi; Basidiomycota; Agaricomycetes; Sebacinales; Sebacinaceae.